UCUAUUCUGCGCUUGUACUUCUGCCGACCUCCACGUACUCUGUCAAGACGCACUCCUGUGGGGAAAGACAGGCACUUCCUUACUGUUGAGAAUCUCCAAUGAAAGCUACCUCUUUGUGACAAAUCUAUUACAAAUGGGUGUUUGUAAUGUGUAGAACAUCAGAUGUUCAAACAAGCUGUGCUUUUUCAUCUAUUACAUGUACUUGAUAGCACCAUCUACUCUGCUACCUAGAAGUUUCAGGGAACCUUUGAUGGCGUCUACCUGGGAGACUGCGCUUCGUCCUUGACACAGCUUCUGCUGCAGAGUCCUGACCUCCAGGUUCCAAAAUGAUCCUAAAGAUGCUGCCGUCUCCCAAACCAGAAUUCCAGUUGUUGGCAGGAUUCACCAUUGAGUUUAGAAAACUACAGGCUUACAGAUCCCCAUCAACCAACUUUAUCCUUGCCUAAUUUACCCAUCUCUGUAUGAUUGUACUUGAGUCAAGUCCAUUUAAGUGAAUAUAGUCAAUUCUAUCUAAAGGAAUACAGCCUGUUAGCGCCAACAUGGUAGCUGAAUAUGUAUCUGGUUUUAAUGCCUGUCAUCACUCUAUUGUUACCCAGAUGAGGAAAGGGAGAAUAUGAGCCUCAAGACCUACAGACCUUGUCUAUUAAAGCCAGGGUCUCAAGCCAGUCUGAACACAUAAGAAGAGCCAUGGAUUUACUUUCUACAGCCAGGAAAAGGCAUUUCACCCCCGAAAAGGGA
Molecule: long non-coding RNA, 738 nt
Organism: Balaenoptera acutorostrata (minke whale)
Lineage: Eukaryota; Metazoa; Chordata; Mammalia; Artiodactyla; Balaenopteridae
Exons: 6
Source: RefSeq, a predicted model, not a curated record